This 301-nucleotide ribosomal RNA is filed under the name uncultured bacterium. RNAcentral's name for it is "partial 16S ribosomal RNA". It matches the Rfam family "Bacterial small subunit ribosomal RNA", at positions 509 to 807 of the family's 1533-position model. The record is from RNAcentral.
CAGUCGCCACGGGAAUACGGAGGGUGCAAGCGUUAAUCGGAUUUACUGGGCGUAAAGCGUGCGUAGGCGGCUUCUUAAGUCGGAUGUGAAAUCCCUGAGCUUAACUUAGGAAUUGCAUUCGAUACUGGGAAGCUAGAGUAUGGGAGAGGAUGGUAGAAUUCCAGGUGUAGCGGUGAAAUGCGUAGAGAUCUGGAGGAAUACCGAUGGCGAAGGCAGCCAUCUGGCCUAAUACUGACGCUGAGGUACGAAAGCAUGGGGAGCAAACAGGAUUAGAUACCCGGGUAGUCCCUGUCUCUUAUAC